Molecule: ribosomal RNA, 1280 nt
Filed under: Anatis ocellata
Lineage: Eukaryota; Metazoa; Arthropoda; Insecta; Coleoptera; Coccinellidae
Description: 16S ribosomal RNA
Rfam family: Archaeal large subunit ribosomal RNA (bases 1041-1199)
Source: RNAcentral
UUAAAAGAAUUAUUGAAAUUUAUUUUAUUUUUAUUUUAAUUAAAAUAUUAAAUUUUUUAUUAUUUUUAAAGAAAAAAUUUUAUUUAUUAUAGUGAAUUAGUACUGAGAAGGAAAUUUUUGAAAUUUUUAAAAGAAAUAAAUUUGUGUACCUUGUGCAUCAGGGUUUAUUAAUUAUAAAUUAAAAAUUUAUUUUUCUCGAAUUUAAAAGGGCUAAAUUAUUAUAAAUUUUAUUGUUUCAUAAAUAUUUAAAAUAGUAAUUUAGUAAUGAAAUGUUAUUCGUUUUUAAAUAUAUCUAGUUUUUUAAGAAAAAAAUUUAAUUUUAUUAAUAAAUUAGAAAUAUUUAAAUUUUAAUUUUUUCAAUUUAUUAUUAAAUAAUUUAAGGGAUAAGCUUUAAAUUUAAUUUUUAUAAUUUAAUUUAAGUAUAAAUAAUUUGUAGGAUUAAUAAUUUCUAUCAUUAUAAGUUUAUAAAAAUUUAUUAUUUUAAGAUUAAUAUUUAUAUUAAAUUUAUUUUUUUUAUUAAAAUUUAAAAAUUAAUUAUUUAUUUUUAGUAAUAAUGAUAAAAUUAGUAUUAAAUAUUAAUAAUUUAAAAUUAUUAUUUAUUGAAAGGUUAAAUAAAGUAAUUCGGCAAAUAUAUUUUUCACCUGUUUAUUAAAAACAUCUCUUUUUGAAAAUAAUUUAAAGUAGGGCCUGCCCACUGAGUAUUUGAAGGGCCGCAGUAUUUUGACUGUGCAAAGGUAGCAUAAUCAUUAGUUUUUUAAUUGAAAGCUUGUAUGAAUGGUUUGAUGAGAAAAUAACUUUCUAUGUUUAAAUUUUUAAAAAUUUUAUUUUUAAGUUAAAAAGCUUAAAUUUUUAUAAUAGACGAGAAGACCCUAUAGAGUUUAAUUUUUGUAAAUUUUUAAAUUUUUAGAAUUUUAUAAUUAAAAUUUUUAUAAUAAUUUGAUUGGGGUGAUUAAAAAAUUAAAUUAACUUUUUUUAUAUUUAAACAAAAAUUUAUGAAUAUUUGAUCCAUAAUAAUGAUUAAAAGAUUAAAUUACCUUAGGGAUAACAGCGUUAUUUUUUUUUAGAGUUCAAAUCGAAAAAAGAGAUUGCGACCUCGAUGUUGGAUUAAAGUUAAUUUUAGGUGCAGAAGCUUAAAUAUUUGGUCUGUUCGACCAUUAAAACUUUACAUGAUCUGAGUUUAAACCGGUGUAAGCCAGGUUGGUUUCUAUCUUUAUUUAGUUAAUAUAUUUUAGUACGAAAGGACCAAAUUUAUAGUUAAAAAUUUUUAUUUUGAAUAAAAU